Molecule: unclassified non-coding RNA, 352 nt
Filed under: plant metagenome
Description: partial contains small subunit ribosomal RNA, internal transcribed spacer 1, and 5.8S ribosomal RNA
Source: RNAcentral
UUUCCGUAGGUGAACCUGCGGAAGGAUCAUUAUAAAUGAAAAACGAAUAACUUCAGGGAAGAAGGGAACCUGCACGGUGACCUCCCCUGUCGGGCCACCCAAUACCCUCAAAAUGCCGCCGUCCUAGCGGUGGCAGACGAAGAAAAAACAAGAAAAACAAAAUAGAAACAGGCACGGUGGCCCGUUCACCUUCACACAACCCUCCGAGUACCGCUUCCAUGUUGCUUCCCCGCAAAUCCACCUCUUUGGUGAGCGCGGGGGAGGUCCGCAUCAAAUUCACCUGAAUGUCACAGCAGUCAGACAGCCAUUCAUGGAAACAAUAAAACUUUCAACAACGGAUCUCUUGGUUCCC